This 273-nucleotide ribosomal RNA is filed under the name uncultured Ascomycota. Its description in RNAcentral is "partial 18S ribosomal RNA". It matches the Rfam family "Eukaryotic small subunit ribosomal RNA", at positions 548 to 827 of the family's 1831-position model. Lineage: Eukaryota; Fungi; Ascomycota. The record is from RNAcentral.
UUGGAGGGCAAGUCUGGUGCCAGCAGCCGCGGUAAUUCCAGCUCCAAUAGCGUAUAUUAAAGUUGUUGUGGUUAAAAAGCUCGUAGUUGAACCUUGGGCCUGGCCGUCCGGUCCGCCUCACCGCGUGUACUGGCUCGGCCGGGCCUUUCCCUCUGUGGAACCCCAUGCCCUUCACUGGGCGUGGCGGGGAAACAGGACUUUUACUGUGAAAAAAUUAGAGUGCUCCAGGCAGGCCUAUGCUCGAAUACAUUAGCAUGGAAUAAUAGAAUAGGA